This 623-nucleotide ribosomal RNA is filed under the name uncultured Campylobacterota bacterium. RNAcentral's name for it is "bacterial SSU rRNA". It matches the Rfam family "Bacterial small subunit ribosomal RNA", at positions 79 to 722 of the family's 1533-position model. The record is from RNAcentral. Lineage: Bacteria; Pseudomonadati; Campylobacterota.
UGCUCUUUUAAAUUUAGUGGCGCACGGGUGAGUAAUAUAUAGCUAAUCUGCCCCUUGCUGGAGGACAACAGUUAGAAAUGACUGCUAAUACUCCAUACUCCUUUUUACCAUAAGAUAAAUCGGGAAAGAAUUUCGGCAAGGGAUGAGACUAUAUCGUAUCAGCUAGUCGGUGGGGUAACGGCCUACCGAGGCUAUGACGCGUAACUGGUCUGAGAGGAUGAUCAGUCACAUUGGAACUGAGACACGGUCCAAACUCCUACGGGAGGCAGCAGUAGGGAAUAUUGCGCAAUGGGGGAAACCCUGACGCAGCGACGCCGCGUGGAGGAUGACACUUUUCGGAGCGUAAACUCCUUUUGUUAGGGAAGAAUAAUGACGGUACCUAACGAAUAAGCACCGGCUAACUCCGUGCCAGCAGCCGCGGUAAUACGGAGGGUGCAAGCGUUACUCGGAAUCACUGGGCGUAAAGGACGCGUAGGCGGAUUAUCAAGUCUCUUGUGAAAUCUAACGGCUUAACCGUUAAACUGCUUGGGAAACUGAUAAUCUAGAGUAAGGGAGAGGCAGAUGGAAUUCUUGGUGUAGGGGUAAAAUCCGUAGAUAUCAAGAAGAAUACCUAUUGCGAAGGC